Molecule: non-coding RNA, 66 nt
Filed under: Gemmatimonas sp. SG8_38_2
Lineage: Bacteria; Pseudomonadati; Gemmatimonadota; Gemmatimonadia; Gemmatimonadales; Gemmatimonadaceae
Source: RNAcentral
AGUCGAAACGCCCCGCCCGGGGCGUCUGCCGGAGAUGGCCUACCGGCACUGAUGAGACAGGCCCAC